Molecule: ribosomal RNA, 651 nt
Filed under: Agarivorans albus
Lineage: Bacteria; Pseudomonadati; Pseudomonadota; Gammaproteobacteria; Alteromonadales; Alteromonadaceae
Description: bacterial SSU rRNA
Rfam family: Bacterial small subunit ribosomal RNA
Source: RNAcentral
AGUCGAGCGGUAACAUUUCUAGCUUGCUAAAAUAUGACGAGCGGCGGACGGGUGAGUAAUGCUUGGGAAUAUGCCUUUACGUGGGGGACAACAGUUGGAAACGACUGCUAAUACCGCAUAAUGUCUUCGGACCAAAGGAGGGGACUCUUCGGAGCCUUUCGCGUAAAGAUUAUCCCAAGUGGGAUUAGCUAGUUGGUAAGGUAAUGGCUUACCAAGGCGACAAUCCCUAUCUGGUUUGAGAGGAUGAUCACCCACACUGGGACUGAGACACGGCCCACACUCCUACGGGAGGCAGCAGUGGGGAAUAUUGCACAAUGGGCGAAAGCCUGAUGCACCCAUGCCGCGUGUGUGAAGAAAGCCUUCGGGUUGUAAAGCACUUUCAGUCGUGAGGAAGGGGUAGUAAUUAAUACUUGCUAUCUUUGACGUUAGCGACAGAAAAAAGACCGGCUAACUCCGUGCCACCAGCCGCGGUAAUACGGAGGGUCCGAGCGUUAAUCGGAAUUACUGGGCGUAAAGCGUACGCACGCGGCUUGUUAAGCCACAUGUGAAAUCCCCGGGCUCAACCUGGGAAUGGCAUUUGGAACUGGCAAGCUAUAGUUUUGUAGAGGGUGGUAGAAUUUCACGUGUAUCGGUGAAAUGCGUAUAGAUCUG